CCUCAGAAGAGAUGAAUUUAGAAUAUUUGCAGUGCUGAACUGAAUGUAGAGCACAUUAGCUAGCAUUUGUGUUGCAAGCAUUUCCUAUCUUCAUCAAGCAGAAGACUUGUUUUCCUGCUUCAAUUGUUUCUGGAUUGCAGAACUUGGGCUAUUUUACUUCUUUGCUGCCUUUCUUCACGAGAGUGGAACAACAAUUGCUGUUCCUUGGAAGAGCUGCUGCUCUUUGUUUGAAGGACUCAUUAAGUAUCAGUGACUCAGCUGUAACUAGAACUGCUGCAGGAAGUUAUGUGUUGAGUUUUAUAUCAACCCUGGGAUUUUCUUUGUUCUUUUUGAAAAAUCUAAGACCCUGUUUAAGACGACAAAUGAUGUUGAAAGUCACAAUGAGAACAGAUACAGAAUUACUUACAGACCUGUUCUGUCACUGUGCACACAUGUUCUCCCAUGACACUGUUGAUAGAACUUUGAUUUUCUUCCAAAAGAAGCCUUAGUAGUCAAAGCGAGAAAACUUGCUUCUGAAUUUCUUUUUCACUGUCUCCAGUACAAGUAAGAAGAAAAUACACUGAAGUCAGAGAUUGCUGAACAAAGCCAAAAUGAGCAAAAGGCCCUAGCUGACUGUCUCUUUCCCUGAUAUGAGAGAAAUUAGUGUUACUAAAAGGCAAAUCUUUAAGUAAAUCUGCUACUCGGUGAUAUUUCUGUUACAUCUUCUUUCAGAUUUACUCUGUAUGCCGUACAUAUUGUAUCAGAUGAACACAUGAAAAUCCUAAUGAAAAUUUGACCACUUGAAUAUUAAAAUUAAAAAAGACAAGCUGUAUUCUAAUAAUUCUGUGCUUUUUCUUUUUUCCAAUGCACAAAGUAAGCCAUCUGUUGCAAAACCAGAGUGCUUGUCAGAAGAAAUGUCAAAACCAGUCAGUACUCAGGACACACUAUGAUAGUUAUUUUUUUCAGCAUGAAGGGGUUUUCAUUGUCUGGCAUUCAGAGGUUCUUUGGCUGUGUCACCAGUGGCUUAUAUAUAAGGAAUGAAUGAUGAAAGUAAGUUGAACUGUUCAUUAGUUUAACUUGUGCCAUCUUGGGAAGACUCAGGAUUGAAUUUUUCAUUUGAAACCCAAUGUUCCUGCAUAAUAGUGAAGAAAGUAACUCUAUAAGCCCUGAAAUAACAGAAGCCUGUCUUGCCGAGGUCUUCUGCCCUGAGGCACAGAGCAGUGUUUGAUGUCUAGUAAGUG
RNAcentral lists this long non-coding RNA (1220 nucleotides) under Phasianus colchicus (ring-necked pheasant). Its description in RNAcentral is "lncRNA (ENSPCLG00000001040.1)". The record is from RNAcentral. Lineage: Eukaryota; Metazoa; Chordata; Aves; Galliformes; Phasianidae.